RNAcentral lists this ribosomal RNA (266 nucleotides) under uncultured archaeon. RNAcentral describes it as "partial 16S ribosomal RNA". It matches the Rfam family "Archaeal small subunit ribosomal RNA", at positions 719 to 982 of the family's 1478-position model. The record is from RNAcentral.
ACACGACUACAUUAGAUACCCGUGUAGUCCUAGCCGUAAACGAUACUCGCUAGGUGUCGGCCACGGUGCGACCGUUGUCGGUGCCGUAGGGAAGCCGUGAAGCGAGCCACCUGGGAAGUACGGCCGCAAGGCUGAAACUUAAAGGAAUUGGCGGGGGAGCACCACAACGGGUGGAGCUUGCGGUUUAAUUGGAUUCAACGCCGGAAAUCUUACCGGGACCGACAGCAACAUGAAGGCCAGGCUGAAGACUUUGCCGGAUUUAGCUG